UUCAAGUUGGUACCACCUUCAAAUUCAAAUAAUGUCUAUCACCCUCAACUUCAUUACUGUAUAAUUAGUUUACAUGAUUUUACUACAAAACUAGUUUCCUACUUAUUUUCUUCCUUUGCUUGCUUCCUAAUUCAAAUCACAACAUGAAAAUGUUAUAACGUAUUAAUUUCAAAUCCAUCUUCCUCUUCAUCUACUUCUUAACAUCUAAUCACAAUCAUGCAAUGUGUUAAUUUCCAACCCAUCUACUCCUACUCAAAACACAACCAUAAAAUAUGUUAAUAUCAAAACAAAACCAUAAAAUGUGUUACUUUCCAACCCAUCUUUUUCUUCAACUUCCACUGAUACAUUAAAAUUUAUUUUCCAACAUCUAAAUCAUAUACAGUGUCAUAGAACAUAUGUUUGAAAAUAAAUCUAGAUGUUGCAUUGGUCCGACCACACUCAACCUCACUGACUAAUUUGACAAUAGAAUCGAAGCAAAAUCUUAGCUAGAUUUGCUUCUUAACAUCUUCACAAAACGUCAGUAGAAACUUCAAAUGAAUCUCAAAGAAUAGAAUACAAAGUUCGAUCGAUAUUCCUCGGGAUUCUUUGGAACGAAAUCCCCCCCCCCCCCCCAGAACUGCGGCCACACUGGGCACCUUGUGCGUUAACUUCUGCAAAGCAUCGUUGGUGAUUCAACCUCUAUUCCUCGGAAUUCUACCCGUCUCUUGAAAGUCUGUGGCAUGGAAGCUUCCGGCGCGAUUUUCGACGCCAUUCACUACUGAGCAUGGGCUCAACAUGGCAGUGCCGGUGAUAGUCCCCUCGUCCGAACUCGCGAAGUCAAACCUGAGUCCAAUUCAAAGUCCACAUAUGACAAUGCUUCAUCAGCAAGGUCACCAAAUCGCCAAUGCAAUAUCCAUCGCUCAGAUUAUAUGGUAGAGCGCGAGACACCAACAUGGACCCGAGUCUACGUCAAGGGGUUUGCUUAGUGUUGAAAAAGAGCUGCCCUGGUGAUCGAAUACAACAAAAUCGUACUUUACAAUACAACAUGUACGAGUGCCCGUCUUGGCGUCUUGUGGAUUCUGGUGGACGAGGG
This 1072-nucleotide long non-coding RNA is filed under the name Physcomitrium patens. Its description in RNAcentral is "long non-coding RNA (PPAT_LNC006288)". Lineage: Eukaryota; Viridiplantae; Streptophyta; Bryopsida; Funariales; Funariaceae. The record is from RNAcentral.